AGCUGGAGCUUGCUCCGGCCGAUUAGUGGCGAACGGGUGAGUAACACGUGAGCAAUCUGCCCUUGACUCUGGGAUAACUGCGGGAAACUGUAGCUAAUACCGGAUACUUUCCUCGCUGGGCAUCCAGCGGGGAAGAAAGAAUUUCGGUCAAGGAUGAGCUCGCGGCCUAUCAGCUAGUUGGUGAGGUAAAGGCUCACCAAGGCGACGACGGGUAGCCGGCCUGAGAGGGUGACCGGCCACACUGGAACUGAGACACGGUCCAGACUCCUACGGGAGGCAGCAGUGGGGAAUAUUGCACAAUGGGCGAAAGCCUGAUGCAGCAACGCCGCGUGAGGGAUGAAGGCCUUCGGGUUGUAAACCUCUUUUAGCAGGGAAGAAGCGAAAGUGACGGUACCUGCAGAAAAAGCACCGGCUAACUACGUGCCAGCAGCCGCGGUAAUACGUAGGGUGCAAGCGUUGUCCGGAAUUAUUGGGCGUAAAGAGCUCGUAGGCGGUUUGUCACGUCUGCUGUGAAAAUCCGAGGCUCAACCUCGGACUUGCAGUGGGUACGGGCAGGCUAGAGUGCGGUAGGGGAGAAGGGAAUUCCUGGUGUAGCGGUGGAAUGCGCAGAUAUCAGGAGGAACACCAAUGGCGAAGGCACUUCUCUGGGCCGUAACUGACGCUGAGGAGCGAAAGCGUGGGGAGCGAACAGGAUUAGAUACCCUGGUA
RNAcentral lists this ribosomal RNA (708 nucleotides) under uncultured Actinomycetes bacterium. RNAcentral's name for it is "bacterial SSU rRNA". It matches the Rfam family "Bacterial small subunit ribosomal RNA", at positions 71 to 792 of the family's 1533-position model. Lineage: Bacteria; Bacillati; Actinomycetota; Actinomycetes. The record is from RNAcentral.